UCUAUAGCUCUGCCUGAACUGUCGUCCAAUUGGUUUACAAGUCCGUGGCUGAAGUGACAGGCCAUCAAAAACUGUACAGUGUGACUGAUUCGGAGACGGCCCUCAACACUCGCCCAGUCGUGUCGAGAGGAUCGGUGUCUUUGCAGAUUACACGGAAUUGAGCACCCGGGCCAGACUGACACUUUCCGGAGCCUGCCCUAGACGGAACUCGAGCCGAGGAAUCAUAGGUCCAGGCGGUGUCGAAAUGGGUCUAUAGCUCUGCCUGAACUGUCGUCCAAUUGGUUUACAAGUCCGGGCUGAAGUGACAGGCCAUCAAAAACUAUACAGUGUGACUGAUUCGGAGACGGCCCUCAACACUCGCCCAGUCGUGUCGAGAGGAUCGGUGUCUUUGCAGAUUACACGGAAUUGAGCACCCGGGCCAGACUGACACUUUCCGGAGCCUGCCCUAGACGGAACUCGAGCCGAGGAAUCAUAGGUCCAGGCGGUGUCGAAAUGGGUCUAUAGCUCUGCCUGAACUGUCGUCCAAUUGGUUUACAAGUCCGGCUGAAGUGACAGGCCAUCAAAAACUGUACAGUGUGACUGAUUCGGAGACGGCCCUCAACACUCGCCCAGUCGUGUCGAGAGGAUCGGUGUCUUUGCAGAUUACACGGAAUUGAGCACCCGGGCCAGACUGACACUUUCCGGAGCCUGCCCUAGACGGAACUCGAGCCGAGGAAUCAUAGGUCCAGGCGGUGUCGAAAUGGGUCUAUAGCUCUGCCUGAACUGUCGUCCAAUUGGUUUACAAGUCCGGCUGAAGUGACAGGCCAUCAAAAACUGUACAGUGUGACUGAUUCGGAGACGGCCCUCAACACUCGCCCAGUCGUGUCGAGAGGAUCGGUGUCUUUGCAGAUUACACGGAAUUGAGCACCCGGGCCAGACUGACACUUUCCGGAGCCUGCCCUAGACGGAACUCGAGCCGAGGAAUCAUAGGUCCAGGUGUGACAAAAGACUUAAAGCUCAUGUCUGACGAUGACUUUUUUUAGUCAGGAAGCCAAGUGUGUUGUUUUUCCAUGCAAGCGAGCCCUUUUGUUGGGUCAAAUGACAUCAGCAUUGCUGCUUCUACAUGGAUUUUACCUAAAAUGUGCAA
Dreissena polymorpha is the source of this 1126-nucleotide long non-coding RNA. RefSeq lists it as uncharacterized. The transcript is spliced from 8 exons. Lineage: Eukaryota; Metazoa; Mollusca; Bivalvia; Myida; Dreissenidae. The record is from RefSeq and is a predicted model, not a curated record.